CGGGACGGGUGAGUAAUGUCUGGGAAACUGCCUGAUGGAGGGGGAUAACUACUGGAAACGGUAGCUAAUACCGCAUAACGUCGCAAGACCAAAGAGGGGGACCUUCGGGGCCUCUUGCCAUCGGAUGUGCCCAGAUGGGAUUAGCUAGUAGGUGGGGUAACGGCUCACCUAGGCGACGAUCCCUAGCUGGUCUGAGAGGAUGACCAGCCACACUGGAACUGAGACACGGUCCAG
This 234-nucleotide ribosomal RNA is filed under the name uncultured bacterium. Its description in RNAcentral is "partial 16S ribosomal RNA". It matches the Rfam family "Bacterial small subunit ribosomal RNA", at positions 100 to 334 of the family's 1533-position model. The record is from RNAcentral.